This 582-nucleotide ribosomal RNA is filed under the name uncultured bacterium. RNAcentral describes it as "bacterial SSU rRNA". It matches the Rfam family "Bacterial small subunit ribosomal RNA", at positions 334 to 917 of the family's 1533-position model. The record is from RNAcentral.
UACUCCUACGGGAGGCAGCAGUGAGGAAUAUUGGUCAAUGGGCGAGAGUCUGAACCAGCCAAGUAGCGUGCAGGAUGACGGCCCUAUGGGUUGUAAACUGCUUUUGUAUGGGGAUAAAGUCAAUCACGUGUGAUUGUUUGCAGGUACCAUACGAAUAAGGACCGGCUAAUUCCGUGCCAGCAGCCGCGGUAAUACGGAAGGUCCGGGCGUUAUCCGGAUUUAUUGGGUUUAAAGGGAGCGUAGGCUGGAGAUUAAGUGUGUUGUGAAAUGUAGACGCUCAACGUCUGACUUGCAGCGCAUACUGGUUUCCUUGAGUACGCACAACGUUGGCGGAAUUCGUCGUGUAGCGGUGAAAUGCUUAGAUAUGACGAAGAACUCCGAUUGCGAAGGCAGCUGACGGGAGCGCAACUGACGCUGAAGCUCGAAGGUGCGGGUAUCGAACAGGAUUAGAUACCCUGGUAGUCCGCACAGUAAACGAUGGAUGCCCGCUGUUGGUACCUGGUAUCAGCGGCUAAGCGAAAGCAUUAAGCAUCCCACCUGGGGAGUACGCCGGCAACGGUGAAACUCAAAUGAAUUGACGGA